UACGUAGGGUCCGAGCGUUGUCCGGAAUUAUUGGGCGUAAAGAGCUCGUAGGCGGUUUGUCGCGUCUGCUGUGAAAUCCCGAGGCUCAACUCCGGGCCUGCAGUGGGUACGGGCUGACUAGAGUGCGGUAGGGGAGACUGGAAUUCCUGGUGUAGCGGUGAAAUGCGCAGAUAUCAGGAGGAACACCGGUGGCGAAGGCGGUUCUCUGGGCCUUACCUGACACUGAGGAGCGAAAGCGUGGGGAGCGAACAGG
Molecule: ribosomal RNA, 253 nt
Filed under: uncultured bacterium
Lineage: Bacteria
Description: partial 16S ribosomal RNA
Rfam family: Bacterial small subunit ribosomal RNA
Source: RNAcentral